Long non-coding RNA from Taeniopygia guttata (zebra finch), 2905 nucleotides. RefSeq lists it as uncharacterized. The record is from RefSeq and is a predicted model, not a curated record. Lineage: Eukaryota; Metazoa; Chordata; Aves; Passeriformes; Estrildidae.
CCGGCACGGAGCAGCUCCUCCCUCCGCCGAGCGGCUCACCCCGCGGCGCUUACCUGCUGCGGAGCCGCGGGCAGCGCCGGGGCCGGGGGGCCGGUGUGGGCGGGCGCGGACCUGCCCUCGGCACACGGCCGGAGAGCCGCGCUCGGAGCUCGGUUCGUGACUUGAGGUUCUUGGGGCCUCCUUGUGGACAUUUCUGCUCCUCCUAACAAGCGGGGUAACAGGUAACGGAAAGAAAUUCUUAGUUGUUGAAGGAUCCAGUACCAAGCCGAGGAAAUUUUAUCCAAGUCAGCAGGAAUUUCUCCUGGAACUUACUGAACACACUCAGAACGUACCACACUGCUUGCCAGGCUGAGACCUUGCUCCAUUUGUGUCAACAUAGCUACAGCUGUGUCUCUAAUCUUCCACAGCACCUUGGAAGCAAAGGCAAAGGAAGAAGUCUCUGAUAACAACCUCCCAGCAAAGGAAAACACCUGUUACUGUGGGUGCAUACAGAUGGAACAGAUCACUGAUCCCUCCCCUCAAACUCCAACAACCUUUCGUCCUGAAGAGUUUUUGUGCUGCAGCCUUGCCAUCAGACAUUAGAUUGCCACUUUGUUCCAUCACAAUCUAGACCUGUAAGCUUAGCAGCAGUAAGAAAUGUGCAAGUUUGUCACUGGCUCUUCCAUUCGUGCUUCAGUGACAGCAGCUCAUGUCAAUGAACGCCACAACUAUGUUUCUUUAAAGCUUCAAAGCAAAGAGCCAUACAUACAGAAUUCUUAGGAAUGUGUUUUUGCAAAGACAUUGCUACUUGACCCUCCAAGGGAGGGAACAGCACAAUGAAGCUGUGAGGAUUCUAAAGGAAUUUUUACUGGCUUUGAAACACUGUUGGGAACUGAUCCUAAUGAUGUUAUAGAAACCUCAAACUGUUUUUAUCCCUCUGAGGGACUACACUUUUUGUACUAGUCAAUUAUAAAAAUAAAAUAUAUUUUCCGUAUAUGCAAAUUUCCUUCAGGCAUCCCUUUUUAUCAUACGAUACCCUUCCCCAAAUCCAAACAAUAAAAAAGAGGUAAAAAUGUGACUAGAUCUCAGAUUUAAUUCAUACUUUUAUUCACCAUCAAAUUCAGAAGUUAGAAAGGGAAGAUAUCUUUGAGAUCCUGUCUUGUCUCUAGGUACCCAUCUUACACUUCUGAAAAAAUCCAACACUUCACAUAAUCCCUAUGUAAGAUGUUAAACAUUUACUAUCUAUAAGGCAUUUAAUCAUCCUUGUGGAGUUCUAACCCUUUUACUGCCCAGCUUGAAGUUAGGUGCUCAUAUUUUACCUUUUUGUUAAAGAAGUUAAAUCAGUCAAUACCUCAUGAAAAUACCUUUCAAUGAAAAACAUUUUUAAAAUGUAUGCAAGACCCACACUUGUAAAACUGUGGUGGUCAAACUCUCUCUCUUUUGUUUUUUAAAUAUCAUUGAACAGAUCCAGAUCAGCUAUAUGCACCUCAGCUAGAGAAUGGAAUUGUUUUUUUACCAGUUUCUUAUGGAAUGGCUCUUCAAUUCUGAUCUGGGAUAAGUCUUCCUUAUGCAGCAAAUCAGAACAGAUUUGAAUGACACCUUCAAAUCUGUGGCUCAGCAUGCUGUGCUUGUUUAGGAGCUGUAGUAAAAGCAGAAGACAGUAUUUUUGCAGGUUUUUAACUCAGCUUUAGAAAAAGUACAAAGGUCUUUAAAAUGUAAUGUAGCAGUAGUACCAGGAAACCAAGAACACAAGACCGCAGUCGCAAGCGCAAGCAGCAGAAGCACAGAGGCCACAGCUCGGCUCAGACAGUGGGAAGAGGAGGAGCUGCAUUACAGAGCAGGCACCAGAGCCUCUCCAAACACCACUUGCAGAAAAAGCCUCAAGACAGACAAUGCCAAGACCAUGAACAGUCUUUACUUCUAUCAGUUGUUUCACAGCACAAUGAGACACAGCACAAAGUUUGUACAGCGGGAUCUGCAGACAGUCUAAAAACAGGCAAUUAUCUUUAAUAAAAAGCAUCGAGUCUGAAUGAAAAUAAAAUGAAGACAAACAAUACUGAAGCUGAUGAUCACCUUGCUUGCUUUUGAUUGUCUAAGAAGUCCAAGACUUCUCAUAGUGCCUUUAAUGUUCUCCACACCACCUUCUCCAGACACCCUAGUUAGUGUAAAGCUUACUGUGCCCCAACUCAUAUGUGUAGUAGGUUUCACAACCUUUUCCUCUUUCUCUCAAACCCUGCUCACAUGUGGGGAGGUGCAACAACUGUCAUCAUACAACAUUCUGAUUCACAAAGAAGCAGCACAAGUGUUGUACAUAAUUUAAUUUGCACUUCUGUAUAUAAAUGUUUACUAUUGCACACUAUUGCAGCACUUAAAAACAUCUAAUUAUUUGCAAAAAUUAGUAAAAUACUUUAAAGGAUUUAAAAAUAAGGGUUUUAAUGCAACUGACAAUAUAAUAAAAAAAGCAAUUUACUUAAUGAGAUACAAUCCUUUAUGUUGGAAAUGAAAGUUACAUACAACUAGAGUACAAUUAAAAUAUACCAUAUAGUUCAACACUUAAUUCCUCAAAUGUGUAAAAUUAACAAGCUUCUACUGUCAUAGAUAUACAAUUUUUCCAUAUUGUGAAAAGGAUUUUUCAAAUUAAAUACAGGUAACAUAAUAUUCUGUAGUUAUAUUUCAUGACUGUGUUUAAAUGAGAGGGUUGUAUAAUACUCACAUUGUCAAAUGUACUCACUAAUGCCUUGGAAAUUGCACACUUCCCCUCCUUUUCCAAAAUAGAAUCUCAUUUCCAUACUGAAGUCUAUUAUGCCAUAUUGGAAAAGUGUUUUACUUUCUAACAGGAUUUUCAUAAAAUUAAAAAAUAGCAUAAUAUCAUGGCAUGAUGAUGACUUAUGCCCGUGUAGAAUUUAAUCUGGGUAUCAGACAGACA